RNAcentral lists this ribosomal RNA (928 nucleotides) under uncultured bacterium. Its description in RNAcentral is "bacterial SSU rRNA". It matches the Rfam family "Bacterial small subunit ribosomal RNA", at positions 8 to 911 of the family's 1533-position model. The record is from RNAcentral.
AGAGUUUGAUCAUGGCUCAGAACGAACGCUGGCGGCGUGCCUAACACAUGCAAGUCGAGCGCGAACGACCCCUUCGGGGGACUAGUAGAGCGGCGGACGGGUGAGUAAUACAUGGAUAAUCUCCCUUCGAGCCCGGGAUAACAGUGCGAAAGCGCUGCUAAUACCGGAUAAGACCACGAGGCGGAAGGCCUUGCGGGAAAAGGUGGCGUUAUUUUCGGAUAAGCUAUCACUUGAUGAUGAGUCCAUGGCCUAUCAGCUUGUUGGCGAGGUAACGGCUCACCAAGGCGAUGACGGGUAGCUGGUCUGAGAGGACGACCAGCCACACUGGGACUGAGACACGGCCCAGACUCCUACGGGAGGCAGCAGUGGGGAAUAUUGGGCAAUGGGCGAAAGCCUGACCCAGCGACGCCGUGUGGGUGAUGAAGGCCUUCGGGUUGUAAAGCCCUGUUGGGUGGAAAGAAGGGCUCCUUGGUGAAUAACCUUGGAGUCUUGACGGUACCACCAGAGGAAGCACCGGCUAACUCCGUGCCAGCAGCCGCGGUAAUACGGAGGGUGCAAGCGUUGUUCGGAAUUACUGGGCGUAAAGGGCGCGUAGGUGGUUGUGUAAGUCAGAUGUGAAAUCCCGAGGCUCAACUUCGGAACUGCAUCUGAUACUGCAUGACUCGAGUGCAGCAGAGGGAAACGGAAUUCCUGGUGUAGAGGUGAAAUUCGUAGAUAUCAGGAGGAACACCGGUGGCGAAGGCGGUUUCCUGGGCUGACACUGACACUGAGGCGCGAAAGCGUGAGUAGCAAACAGGAUUAGAUACUCUGCUAGUCUACGCUGUAAACGUGAGUGCUGGUGUGGGAGAUGUAAUGCCUUCUGUGCCGAGCUAACGCGUUAAGCACUCCGCCUGGGGAGUACGGACGCAAGGUUGAAACUCAAGGAAUG